Frankliniella occidentalis (western flower thrips) is the source of this 1282-nucleotide long non-coding RNA. RefSeq lists it as uncharacterized. The transcript has 4 exons. The record is from RefSeq and is a predicted model, not a curated record. NCBI's taxonomy places the organism in Eukaryota, Metazoa, Arthropoda, Insecta, Thysanoptera, Thripidae.
UCACAAUCAGAAAGUCGAUAGUCCUGGUAUCUACCGAGAGAAAUGGUCGUAGCGAUCGACUUUUGGUUGCCACAACCGACCAUUUUUUUCCGUGUGUCUGUGUGUCUGUGUGUCUGUCUGUCUGUCUGUUCCACUAGAAGGAGAUGUGUUAGAGACUUCAAAUUUUCAGGGUAUCUUAAGCUUCACUCCUAGAAAACGAAACGCCUACGGCAACCAACCCUAAGGGGCCAAAAGGGGGUAUCAAAGAAAAGGGGGUAGGUCAAAAAAGUCAGAAAAAAAUAUUUUUUUUAUGAGCUCCUAAGGGGUAACUCGUCAAAGUAGAGCCCUGUGGGCGAAAAUUUCGUCCGUUUUGCUCUAUCUCUCAGCGUCUCAGCGUCUCAGCCCACUUGAAGGCCGUCAAGACCGUGGAGUCCUUGCAACAGACAUUUUCUUUAACAAUUUUCUAGCAUCUUCAAAAAAUUUUAUCAGGCUCAAAAAUACAAACCUAGAGGUGGCGUCCUUGCUAAAACUGAAGCAUAUUCAGGAUGGGGUGAGAUUUGAGGAAGAAGAAGAUUUCUGCUAGCCCUCAGACCUUUCGUGAGGCGGACAGCAUGUUCCGUGAACCGGACUACUCCUAUCUCGGACGAACCAUCGACGGGGAGGAGAUGCUCUACCAAGUCAUGGUUGGGGAAGAUAGGGAGGAAUCCCUCAUUUCCUGUACAAAAAGGCAGCUGCAAAUGGUCCAUCAAACGGAUGUGAUAGCCUCUGACCCUACAUUUCGGGUCACCCGACGUUUGGUCGGGGCGCUAUAUCUGAUGAUUAUCGCAAUAUUGGCAUAUGACGCUGGACUGCUAUAAUGAGGGCAAAAAGUACAGAGGUGUACGAGGCUGUCUUCCGAAAGUUCAGGGGAAUGGGACUAGAUGCAAGAAAUGUGAUAACUGACUGGGAGCAGGCCGAGAGGAAUGGAUGGCGGAAUGCAUUUCCAAGAUGCAAGAUUCAUGGGUGUGUCCGGCACUUUGUAAAAGUAAACCAAAAGACAUGGAAGCAGAGGAAGAAUGCAAAGUCGAGUCUCAAGAAAAGGGCAAAGGAGUUGGAACGACAGGCAGCAGAGAGAACCUCUUUAAUAAAGCAAUAAACUUACAAAGAAAGGUAGUCGUGUUGUUUCUAACCCUCCAUCGCACUGACACAUUAAAAAGGAUUUCAAUUGUCUUGGAAACCCCGCACAAGAAAUGUCAUUCUGCAAUCACAUUAAAGGUGUUUCAAGUAUUAGGAAUGUGAAAAUAUUAUGACAUGAGAAUAUGAC